CGACAACGAACUGGAGAGCGCCGCCAUCAUGAUUUGACGAUGACGGCCGCCGAAGGGGCAAGCCGGGUCCGGGGCGGACGCGGUGAAUCUCUCAGGCAAAAGGACAGUGGGGGCAGC
This 117-nucleotide non-coding RNA is filed under the name Cupriavidus sp. HPC(L). RNAcentral's name for it is "Glycine riboswitch aptamer". It matches the Rfam family "Glycine riboswitch aptamer". From Rfam's summary of the family: This family represents the bacterial glycine riboswitch. Lineage: Bacteria; Pseudomonadati; Pseudomonadota; Betaproteobacteria; Burkholderiales; Burkholderiaceae. RNAcentral also lists the same sequence under 1 other name. The record is from Rfam by way of RNAcentral.